GAUGAACGCUGGCGGCGUGCCUAAUACAUGCAAGUCGAGCGAACAGACGAGGAGCUUGCUCCUCUGACGUUAGCGGCGGACGGGUGAGUAACACGUGGAUAACCUACCUAUAAGACUGGGAUAACUUCGGGAAACCGGAGCUAAUACCGGAUAAUAUAUUGAACCGCAUGGUUCAAUAGUGAAAGACGGUUUUGCUGUCACUUAUAGAUGGAUCCGCGCCGCAUUAGCUAGUUGGUAAGGUAACGGCUUACCAAGGCGACGAUGCGUAGCCGACCUGAGAGGGUGAUCGGCCACACUGGAGCUGAGACGCGGUCCAGACUCCUACGAGAGGCAGCAGUAGGGAAUCUUCCGCAAUGGGCGAAAGCUUGACGGAGCAACGCCGCGUGAGUGAUGACGGUCUUCGGAUCGUAAUACUCUGUUAUUAGGUAAGAACAAAUGUGUAAGUAACUAUGCACGUCUUGACGGUACCUAAUCAGAAAGCCACGGCUAACUACGUG
Molecule: ribosomal RNA, 497 nt
Filed under: uncultured bacterium
Lineage: Bacteria
Description: partial 16S ribosomal RNA
Rfam family: Bacterial small subunit ribosomal RNA
Source: RNAcentral